Molecule: long non-coding RNA, 859 nt
Organism: Lotus japonicus
Lineage: Eukaryota; Viridiplantae; Streptophyta; Magnoliopsida; Fabales; Fabaceae
Exons: 2
Source: RefSeq, a predicted model, not a curated record
UAGGAAUAAUGACUAAAUGUCAGAUUUUAGAGGUUUUAUUUAUUUAGUUUUUUUUAUUUGAAUAAUAUUGGUUUUUUUCUGUAAUCUAAUCUAAAGAAGAUGAGGAAUGAUGAUGACUGUGGGACCAUGCGAUCAUGUACUGUUCCGGCAUUUCCAUUUUCCCAUCUACAACGUUGUGCUGUGUGCAGAGUGCAGAGUGAUAUCGUGUUAUCAUGACAUCCAUCAUCAACAUAGGAUCCUCAACGUUCGAACAAGCAAAACAAUGGUUCAUCGAGUCGACAUCGUUUCGUGAUAAACUAAGAUUCCGAGACUCGAAUUUCAAAUGCACCGACAACACAGAUCUCUUGGAAUUGCUCAAUUUUGAGGAAUGAAGGUUUGAGGUAUGAGGAGGCAUUGGAACAUUGACAGCAUAAGUCAAGGAGAAGCAAAUUUAGAGUACAUCCAAACGAUUUUUCCCAUAUCUCAUCCAGUUUCCAAGACAAAAAAACAGUGCUAGUAUUUUACAGUUGCACAACAAUUGAUGUGCUAAAUAAAUAUUAGUCUCUAUUCUUAAUCAACAAAAAAUGGAGCAUGUGGACAUUUUUCAACCGGGUAAGUUUAGGAAGACAGUGCAUCAGCAAGAAGAGAAUCUGAAGUGAAUUAGUUGCAUUCAACAUUUCCAUGAGACUUCAUGAGAGCUAAAUAUCAAGAUCAUAUUCAAAGAUGAUUAUCUCCACUAUCCCCUGUCCAGCAAUUGUCCAUGCAAGAAUGGUUGUUCUCCAUCUGUAAUAUGGAAACACAGUAAAAAGUUAAAACCAUGUCCUUAUUUGUGAAAAACCUACACAUAGCAUAUAGGAGAAUGAAUUUACAUUUCGUUUAA